This 522-nucleotide ribosomal RNA is filed under the name Lodderomyces parapsilosis. Its description in RNAcentral is "eukaryotic LSU rRNA". The stretch from base 182 to 335 matches the Rfam family "5.8S ribosomal RNA". The record is from RNAcentral. Lineage: Eukaryota; Fungi; Ascomycota; Pichiomycetes; Serinales; Debaryomycetaceae.
UUCCGUAGGUGAACCUGCGGAAGGAUCAUUACAGAAUGAAAAGUGCUUAACUGCAUUUUUUCUUACACAUGUGUUUUUCUUUUUUUGAAAACUUUGCUUUGGUAGGCCUUCUAUAUGGGGCCUGCCAGAGAUUAAACUCAACCAAAUUUUAUUUAAUGUCAACCGAUUAUUUAAUAGUCAAAACUUUCAACAACGGAUCUCUUGGUUCUCGCAUCGAUGAAGAACGCAGCGAAAUGCGAUAAGUAAUAUGAAUUGCAGAUAUUCGUGAAUCAUCGAAUCUUUGAACGCACAUUGCGCCCUUUGGUAUUCCAAAGGGCAUGCCUGUUUGAGCGUCAUUUCUCCCUCAAACCCUCGGGUUUGGUGUUGAGCGAUACGCUGGGUUUGCUUGAAAGAAAGGCGGAGUAUAAACUAAUGGAUAGGUUUUUUCCACUCAUUGGUACAAACUCCAAAACUUCUUCCAAAUUCGACCUCAAAUCAGGUAGGACUACCCGCUGAACUUAAGCAUAUCAAUAAGCGGAGGAA